Molecule: long non-coding RNA, 622 nt
Organism: Harmonia axyridis
Lineage: Eukaryota; Metazoa; Arthropoda; Insecta; Coleoptera; Coccinellidae
Exons: 2
Source: RefSeq, a predicted model, not a curated record
UCAUCACCAGUAGUUUUGUUUUUUUUUUCGGUUUAUGACAGUGUUUUAAUAGCACAUGUGAAUUCUAUCGAAAGAAACAAGAUAGUCAUCUUGCCCAUAUUUCGGUUGAGAUCGAAUAAAUUAAUUUGAGUUGUUGAAAAUUUGAUAAUAUGAGUAACGAAGAGGAAAAUUUUGUGGGUUCUAUCAUAAGGAUGUCUGACGGAAGACCAAGACGGAAAACAAUAUCCAUAUUGUAUUUACUGGCAAUACAAAUAGUGAUGUUGAUAUUUGCUUAUUGGUACACAGACUUCUGUUCGAUCUCAGUAGACAGCUGGUUCUCGGAAAACCUACUCAUGUAUUAUAUACUUCCUGUAAUUUUCAUUUGUGCUCUUCACCAGAAAAGGUUCUUCAUAAUCCGUAUAGGUCUUUUAUAUUGUCUUUAUAUUCUUCUCUCCAGUAUCUAUAAUCAUACGAGAUCGCAAUAGUAAUCACAACAUCAGUUUAUUCAUCAUAUUUUAUAAAUGUGAGCUUAAGUUGUCAUGUUAUUUUUAAUUUUCAUGGAAGUGAACUUUUUAAGUGGACAGAUGAGAUGAUUCAAAUCUCAGGAAAAUUAAUGUAUAAAUAAAAAAUGUAAUAAAAAGUU